UAGCACUAUAUGAGUUUGCAGUAACAAUUGUAGCUCUCCUUGAAAGAAGCUGACCAUGCAACUGUGUUGCAAGCUAAGCUUUUUUUCCAGCAACAAUAAUUGAAGUUCUGACGAGAAAAACAAAAAUCGUGAUACCUAAUUGCCUUAUGUAGUGAGUAAUGCGCUCAGGAAUCCCAUUUCUUAAGCGCUUGUUGGAGUGGACCAACCAAUAGCUCCACUAUUGUUCUGUGCUGUUGACUUGUUUGAUACAAGUAUUUUAUUUAUUUUUUAAUAAUUAGUUGCUUUACAGACGAGCGGACAGGUGAUCUGUGGCGACCCCAAAAACCGAAAGAAGUUGCUUUAUAGACACCUGUACUGAUUUCUGACAAUUUUGGCAAGUGUUAUACCAGGAAUAUGGAAACCCUCGUCUUUUGAAGACAGUAAAUUGAUAUAGAAUGAGUGUUCAGUGUACUUCAACCAGCUACCAGCUCACGGUGAUCUUGAGUCAACUGCAACAUAUGCACAGAACCUAUACUAUGCAUACCCAAGAACAGCUAGUACCAGUGCACACUUGAUACAUCUUGUGACAUCAUUAGCACCAGUAUAAUCGACGAGAAGCUGUGUUUUUCUUGUGCUUGGAUGAGUUGGAAGAUGGGAUCUUCACAUCAACAGACUAUGAACUUUUGGGAGGGAUUUGUUAUACUAUAGCAAUUUAGAGCAAGUCAUUCGCUACAUUUUCUGAACUGGUUAACCCAUUUUGAUCCUUGGAAAUCAGGUGUUACUCAAAAGUACUAAGACUUGUACAAUUGUUAUAGGAUUAGUAGCAGACCUAAAAUGUUUUACAUUCAAGCUCCUAGAUAAUUCGGUUUCCUUGCAUCCAGGAGUAGCAGUGUUCUGGAAUUCUCUUCUGAACAGAAGGGUUGGAAUCAAAUGCUCGAGUAAAAAGCAAAUUGUUUAUAACAGAAUUUAAAAAAGGCAUACUAUAAUCUGUUUUUUAGCACUCCCACUGUAUACUUUGUCAUUGAAUUUUUCUAUUGUCGGUUGUCAUGCCUGAAGUUACCCAGUUCACUGAAUAAAUAGGGGAACUGUAUAAUU
Long non-coding RNA from Protopterus annectens (West African lungfish), 1074 nucleotides. RefSeq lists it as uncharacterized. The record is from RefSeq and is a predicted model, not a curated record. NCBI's taxonomy places the organism in Eukaryota, Metazoa, Chordata, Ceratodontiformes, Protopteridae. The transcript has 2 exons.